CCCUUAGAUGUCCUGGGCCGCACGCGCGCUACACUGACGGAGCCAGCGAGCUUACCCCUUUGCCGAAAGGCAUGGGAAAUCUUUUGAAUCUCCGUCGUGCUGGGGAUAGAUCAUUGCAAUUAUUGAUCUUGAACGAGGAAUUCCUAGUAAGCGCAAGUCAUCAACUUGCGUUGAUUACGUCCCUGCCCUUUGUACACACCGCCCGUCGCACCUACCGAUUGAAUGACUCGGUGAAAAAUUGGGACCGUGAGUCUGUUUGCUUCAUUGCGAGUGGAUUGAUGGGAACUUUUUUAAACCUCGCCAUUUAGAGGAAGGUGAAGUCGUAACA
Molecule: ribosomal RNA, 328 nt
Filed under: uncultured eukaryote
Lineage: Eukaryota
Description: partial 18S ribosomal RNA
Rfam family: Eukaryotic small subunit ribosomal RNA
Source: RNAcentral